GGCCUCGUAGCUCAACUGAAUAGAGUAUCUGACUACGAAUCAGAGGGUUGUGGGUUUGACUCCCGCCGAGGUCACAA
This 77-nucleotide transfer RNA is filed under the name Bacteroidetes bacterium CG23_combo_of_CG06-09_8_20_14_all_32_9. RNAcentral's name for it is "tRNA-Arg". It matches the Rfam family "tRNA". From Rfam's summary of the family: Transfer RNA (tRNA) molecules are approximately 80 nucleotides in length. Their secondary structure includes four short double-helical elements and three loops (D, anti-codon, and T loops). Further hydrogen bonds mediate the characteristic L-shaped molecular structure. tRNAs have two regions of fundamental functional importance: the anti-codon, which is responsible for specific mRNA codon recognition, and the 3' end, to which the tRNAs corresponding amino acid is attached (by aminoacyl-tRNA synthetases). tRNAs cope with the degeneracy of the genetic code in two manners: having more than one tRNA (with a specific anti-codon) for a particular amino acid; and 'wobble' base-pairing, i.e. permitting non-standard base-pairing at the 3rd anti-codon position. Lineage: Bacteria; Pseudomonadati; Bacteroidota. The record is from RNAcentral.